AUUGAACGCUGGCGGAAUGCUUUACACAUGCAAGUCGAACGGUAGAGGGGGCAACCUCUCGAGAGUGGCGAACGGGUGAGUAAUAUAUCGGAACGUGCCCAGUCGUGGGGGAUAACGUAGCGAAAGUUACGCUAAUACCGCAUACGAUCUACGGAUGAAAGCGGGGGACUCGCAAGAGCCUCGCGCGAUUGGAGCGGCCGAUAUCAGAUUAGGUAGUUGGUGGGGUAAAGGCUCACCAAGCCAACGAUCUGUAGCUGGUCUGAGAGGAUGAUCAGCCACACUGGGACUGAGACACGGCCCAGACUCCUACGGGAGGCAGCAGUGGGGAAUCUUAGACAAUGGGGGAAACCCUGAUCUAGCCAUGCCGCGUGAGCGAUGAAGGCCUUAGGGUUGUAAAGCUCUUUCAGCCGGGAAGAAAACGCAUGGGUUAAUACCCUGUGUGGAUGACGGUACCGGAAUAAGAAGCACCGGCUAACUACGUGCCAGCAGCCGACGG
RNAcentral lists this ribosomal RNA (496 nucleotides) under uncultured bacterium. RNAcentral's name for it is "bacterial SSU rRNA". It matches the Rfam family "Bacterial small subunit ribosomal RNA", at positions 30 to 520 of the family's 1533-position model. The record is from RNAcentral.